Molecule: ribosomal RNA, 388 nt
Filed under: uncultured bacterium
Lineage: Bacteria
Description: bacterial SSU rRNA
Rfam family: Bacterial small subunit ribosomal RNA
Source: RNAcentral
CUUGACGGUACCAGAAGAAUAAGCACCGGCUAACUCCGUGCCAGCAGCCGCGGUAAUACGGAGGGUGCAAGCGUUAUCCGGAUUUACUGGGUUUAAAGGGUGCGUAGGUGGGUUUGUAAGUCAGUGGUGAAAUCUCCGAGCUUAACUCGGAAACUGCCGUUGAUACUAUAAAUCUUGAAUUAUAUGGAGGUAAGCGGAAUAUGUCAUGUAGCGGUGAAAUGCUUAGAUAUGACAUAGAACACCAAUUGCGAAGGCAGCUUACUACGUAUUUAUUGACACUGAGGCACGAAAGCGUGGGGAUCAAACAGGAUUAGAUACCCUGGUAGUCCACGCCCUAAACGAUGGAUACUCGACAUUAGCGAUACACUGUUAGUGUCUGAGCGAAAGC